UGGUUCUCGCAUCGAUGAAGAACGCAGCGAAUUGCGAUACGUAAUAUGACUUGCAGACGUGAAUCAUUGAAUUUUUGAACGCACAUUGCGCCUUAAGGUAUUCCUCAAGGCAUGCGUGAAUGAGCGAUAUUUACUCUCAAACCCUAGGGUUUGGUCCUGGCCCCUACAGCCUAAACAUCAACUGAGUUUAAAAUAAGUUUUAAUCUCAUCCCCCUUAUUUCCUCAUUUUCGUAAGACUACCCGCUGA
This 247-nucleotide unclassified non-coding RNA is filed under the name uncultured fungus. RNAcentral's name for it is "partial contains 5.8S ribosomal RNA and internal transcribed spacer 2". The stretch from base 1 to 129 matches the Rfam family "5.8S ribosomal RNA", at positions 22 to 154 of the family's 154-position model. From Rfam's summary of the family: 5.8S ribosomal RNA (5.8S rRNA) is a component of the large subunit of the eukaryotic ribosome. It is transcribed by RNA polymerase I as part of the 45S precursor that also contains 18S and 28S rRNA. Functionally, it is thought that 5.8S rRNA may be involved in ribosome translocation. The record is from RNAcentral. Lineage: Eukaryota; Fungi.